Molecule: ribosomal RNA, 393 nt
Filed under: uncultured bacterium
Lineage: Bacteria
Description: partial 16S ribosomal RNA
Rfam family: Bacterial small subunit ribosomal RNA
Source: RNAcentral
AUACGGAGGAUGCAAGCGUUAUCCGGAUUUAUUGGGUUUAAAGGAUGCGUAGGCUGUUCGGAAAGUCAGGGGUGAAAGCCCGGCGCCUAACGCCGGAACUGCCUUUGAUACUUCCGAGCUGGAAUACGGAUGCCGUGGGAGGAAUGAGUAGUGUAGCGGUGAAAUGCAUAGAUAUUACUCAGAACACCGAUUGCGAAGGCAUCUCACGAAUCCGUCAUUGACGCUGAGGCACGAAAGCGUGGGGAUCAAACAGGAUUAGAUACCCUGGUAGUCCACGCAGUAAACGAUGAUGACUAACCGUCGGCGAUACACAGUCGGUGGCCAAGCGAAAGCGAUAAGUCAUCCACCUGGGGAGUACGUUCGCAAGAAUGAAACUCAAAGGAAUUGGCGGGG